GGGUUAUGAGCUUAUCUCACAAUUUCCUUGGAUUUGUGGGUUUAAGCUGGAAUUGGAAAUGCUUUUGGAUGUGUGUGUGUGCAGAAACAUGAGCAUACCGGCCAGAAAAAGAACAUUUAGUGGGAGCUGCCAGCAUCUGGAUGACAAUGCAGCAUGCAAGGAAAACAAGAAGAAGCCACAGAUUUUGGUCAUUUCUGCAUGCAUAGAGAGAGGCACACAUUCAAUGAAAGGCCUCAAAAACACCCUGUACUGCUGCUGCCUGCUUGGAGCAAUCUCCGGUCAUAUCGACGAAGGUUUUGGUGUGGUUUGGUCCCACAUGCCACCACCUCCCAAGGGCCAAGCAGGAACCAUGGGGACUGAAGACAGCGCUGGGGUUUGUGGGCUAAGAAAGUCUCUGUGAAGAUUUCAGUGGGAUAUUUGUGUGCACGUGUGCAUAUACAUGCAUGCAUAUAUAUAUAUGUAACUGUGCAAAAUGCUACCUCAAAAUCUGAUAUUGGAACACACCUGUUUCAGAGCAUGCUUGUAAUACAUUUGUUUAAAAGAAAUCCUCACACUCCAUGUAUUAGUCUGUUCUUUUUAGCUCUGUAAAUUCAGCUUUUGUUUUUCUAAGGACCUGCAUGGCAUUUUCUCUUCCCUCCCCCUCUCUGGGAGCAGAUAACACUGAAUUAUCCAGGAUUUAGGUAAAAUGCUACCCUGUGUGACACUUUCUGUAAGAAGCUGGAAGAAACAACCCUGGCUUGUCCUCUGUCAGAGGGCUGUGCCGGCAGGGAGGACAGAGAGAUGUUGCGGUUUUGGGGUGCCACAGCCUCAGCACCUCCUAAUCUGCUCCACACCUCUCAGGCUUCAACAGAUCUGAAAUACAGCCUUGAUGAGCCCACCGGAGCACAGUUUCCAGGCCCAAACCUCAUCUCCAGCUUUCCCUAAAGUAACCCAGGGAGGGGCUGGGUCUCCUCUGCACUUGAGAACCCAAUCGAGGGCUCAGGGCAAGGACCCUGCCACGACCCCAGGGGGCUGCAGGCAGAGAGCAGAGACGGGGGGGAAGACACAAUGAGAGGGGAAAGACACAGCGAGGGGGAAAAGACACAGCCAGGGGGGAAAGACACAGUGAGGGGGGAGAACAGGGCCUUCCCCUGGCUGCUGGAGGCAUCCUGCCAGCAAAGAGCGCGGCCUCCCGUGGAGAGUAAAUGAAAGCCUCAUUCUGAGGGAGUGGC
This 1211-nucleotide long non-coding RNA is filed under the name Anser brachyrhynchus (Pink-footed goose). RNAcentral's name for it is "lncRNA (ENSABRG00000022154.1)". The record is from RNAcentral. Lineage: Eukaryota; Metazoa; Chordata; Aves; Anseriformes; Anatidae.